RNAcentral lists this ribosomal RNA (433 nucleotides) under uncultured bacterium. Its description in RNAcentral is "partial 16S ribosomal RNA". It matches the Rfam family "Bacterial small subunit ribosomal RNA", at positions 29 to 507 of the family's 1533-position model. The record is from RNAcentral.
AACGAACGCUGGCGGCAUGCCUAACACAUGCAAGUCGAACGAGACCUUCGGGUCUAGUGGCGCACGGGUGCGUAACGCGUGGGAACCUGCCCUUAGGUUCGGAAUAACUCCCCGAAAGGGGUGCUAAUACCGGAUAAUGUCUUCGGACCAAAGAUUUAUCGCCUUUGGAUGGGCCCGCGUUGGAUUAGCUAGUUGGUAGGGGAAAAGCCUACCAAGGCGACGAUCCAUAGCUGGUCUGAGAGGAUGAUCAGCCACACUGGGACUGAGACACGGCCCAGACUCCUACGGGAAGCAGCAGUGGGGAAUAUUGGACAAUGGGCGAAAGCCUGAUCCAGCAAUGCCGCGUGAGUGAUGAAGGCCUUAGGGUUGUAAAGCUCUUUUACCCGGGAUGAUAAUGACAGUACCGGGAGAAUAAGCUCCGGCUAACUCCGUG